AAUAGAAUUCAUCCAUGAGCUAAUAAACCAUGAUCCCAAACAUGCAUUUUGGAGUCCAAAGAUGUGAAAGUAGAUGAUGCCAUAAUUUUAUACCAUUUCAAGACCUAAACCGCACAUCAUUUGUCAUAUCAAAAUUAUCGAGAUCCAAAUAAAUCAUGACAAUCCUGCAAAUGAUAUAUAUCAUAGCCAAAUAUAGGAGAAUAGAUAUGCCAGCAACCUCCAAAUUUGAUCAAAUCUCAGAGUCCAAACAAAACAAACAUGAUCCAAUUCAUUGAUCCAACAUCAUCAUGACCAUGAAAAUCUAACCAAAAGAUUCUCAUAUUUUCAUAACAAAAAUUCAAGCACUCCAACAAUAGCAUCACAUGAAAUACUAGUGUCUAAAAUCUGAUACACUAAUGCCCG
RNAcentral lists this long non-coding RNA (402 nucleotides) under Elaeis guineensis (African oil palm). Its description in RNAcentral is "long non-coding RNA (EGUI_LNC030892)". Lineage: Eukaryota; Viridiplantae; Streptophyta; Magnoliopsida; Arecales; Arecaceae. The record is from RNAcentral.